GCGUCAAGAGCCGAGCCGUGCUGGUGCGUCCACCAUGCAGUGCACCGUGCAAAAAAAAAAAAAAAACCACCAAACACUGCAGUCCGGCCCAUCAGGAGGUUGGAAAAAAAAAAAGAGCGAGCAAAGAGUAGUUCGGAAAAUUCUCUUCUUUAAUCUAAAACUUGAGAAAGAAAAUGGUAUUGUGGUCUUGCUCUCCUUCCUCGUGGUCGGCGGCCGGAGCAGCUGUGGCCUAGUUGCCAAAAAUUUUCAAGAUUCCCCGUCACAUCAAAUCUUUCGGCACAUGCAUGAAGUAUUAAAUAUACAUGAAAACAAAAACUAUUUGCACAAUUCAUCUGUAAACCGCGAGAUAAAUCUUUUAAGUCUAGAUACUCUAUAAUUAGAUAACGUUUGUCAAAUAAAAACGAAAGUGCUACAGUGCCGUUUUUCACAAGUUUUUCCGAACUGAACAAGGCCUGUAGCCGCGCGCGCCUCCGCAAACCCUCCUCCUACUCCUCGCCCAUCCUCGCCUCCGUCCCGUCCCAGCCGCAGGGUGAUGGACUCUGCUGCCGGCGCAGGCCGCAACCGCGUCCGAAUCGCAGUCGUCGGCGACGUG
RNAcentral lists this long non-coding RNA (592 nucleotides) under Sorghum bicolor (sorghum). Its description in RNAcentral is "long non-coding RNA (SBIC_LNC016920)". The record is from RNAcentral. Lineage: Eukaryota; Viridiplantae; Streptophyta; Magnoliopsida; Poales; Poaceae.